Molecule: non-coding RNA, 28 nt
Filed under: Rattus norvegicus (Norway rat)
Lineage: Eukaryota; Metazoa; Chordata; Mammalia; Rodentia; Muridae
Source: RNAcentral
UAUUUUGAGGCUUAUUGGAAUAAAGUGU